GACGAACGCUGGCGGCGUGCUUAACACAUGCAAGUCGAACGGAAAGGCCCUGCUUUUGUUGGGUGCUGGAGUGGCGAACGGGUGAGUAACACGUGAGUAACCUGCCCUUCACUUUUGGUUAACUUCAGGGAACUGGGGCUAAUACCGUAUAGGAUCUCCUGCUGCAUUGUGGGGAUUGGAAAGGUUCGGCGGUUGUGUCUGUACUCGCGGGUUAUCAGCUUGUUGGUGGGGUAGUGGCUUACCACGGCUUUGACGGGGAGACGGCCUGAGAGGGUGACCGGCCAGAUUGGGACUGAGAUACGGCCCAGCCUCCUACGGGAGGCCGCAGUGGGGAAUAUUGCACAGUGGGCGGAAGCCUGAUGCAGCAACGCCGCGUGCGGGAUGACGGCCUUCGGGUUGUAAACCGCUUUCGCCUGUGACGAAGCGGGAGUGACGGUAAUGGGUAAAGAAGCACCGGCUAACUACGUG
Molecule: ribosomal RNA, 468 nt
Filed under: uncultured bacterium
Lineage: Bacteria
Description: partial 16S ribosomal RNA
Rfam family: Bacterial small subunit ribosomal RNA
Source: RNAcentral